GCACAGUAAUCCUUUAACUAACCCAUGCGAGUUCUUGUAGUAUACAAGGCAGACGGCUCAGUAACGCGUAGUCCCCUUUAACCUAUGGACGGGAAUAACCUCGGGAAACUGAGUAUCCAUGCCCGAUAGAACAUUAUGCCUGGAAUGGUUUAUGUUCCAAAUGAUUUAUCGCCGUAGGAUGGGACUGCGGCCUAUCAGUUUGUUGGUGAGGUAAUGGCCCACCAAGACUAUUACAGGUACGGGCUCUGAGAGGAGUGGCCCGGAGAUGGGUACUGAGACACGGACCCAGGCCCUAUGGGGCGCAGCAGGCGAGAAAACUUUGCAAUGUGCGAAAGCACGACAAGGUUAAUCCGAGUGGUUUCUGCUAAAGGAACCUUUUGUCGGUCCUAGAAACACCGAUGAAUAAGGGGUGGGAAAGUUCUGGUGUCAGCCGCCGCGGUAAAACCAGCACCUCAAGUGGUCAGGAUGAUUAUUGGGCCUAAAGCAUCCGUAGCCGGCUUUGUUAGUUUUCGGUUAAAUCUGUACGCUUAACGUACAGGCUGCCGGGAAUACUGCAAAGAUAGGGAGUGGGAGAAGUAGACGGUACUCGGUAGGAAGGGGUAAAUUCCUUUGAUCUUAUUUGAUGACCACCCGUUGGUAAAAGGGGUCUUCCAUAAACACGUCCGAUCGGUGAGGGAAGAAAAAUGGGGGGAACAAAACCGGAUUAAAAUACCUCGGUAAUCCCCAGCUUUUAAACUAUGACAAAUCAAUGGAUGCAUUGGAUCUGGAGCCAAAGUAGUUGUUUCCGGGGAAGCCUUUUUAAUUUUGCCGCCUUGGGAAAU
This 821-nucleotide ribosomal RNA is filed under the name uncultured marine archaeon. Its description in RNAcentral is "bacterial SSU rRNA". It matches the Rfam family "Archaeal small subunit ribosomal RNA", at positions 24 to 837 of the family's 1478-position model. The record is from RNAcentral.